GAAAACAUGGAAAUUUUUGAUUUCACGUUAACAUCCGAUGAGAUGAACGCUAUCCGUGAACUCGGCACUGGAAAGAGGGUAGUAGCUUUCGACGUUGGGAAACAUUUCAAAUACUAUCCUUUCAACAUUCCGUUUUAAACGAAAUUGAUAUGGUAAAGAGAGAGGAAAAAA
Molecule: long non-coding RNA, 171 nt
Organism: Temnothorax curvispinosus
Lineage: Eukaryota; Metazoa; Arthropoda; Insecta; Hymenoptera; Formicidae
Exons: 2
Source: RefSeq, a predicted model, not a curated record